GCGUAUGCAACCUACCUUUUACAGGGGGAUAGCCCCUUUAAAUGUUGAAUAAUACCCCAUACGAUCCUAUUUAGGCAUCUAAAUAGGAGGAAAACUCCGGUGGUAAAAGAUGGGCAUGCGUCCUAUUAGCUAGAUGGUGAGGUAACGGCUCACCAUGGCUACGAUAGGUAGGGGUCCUGAGAGGGAGAUCCCCCACACUGGUACUGAGACACGGACCAGACUCCUACGGGAGGCAGCAGUGAGGAAUAUUGGACAAUGGAGGCAACUCUGAUCCAGCCAUGCCGCGUGCAGGAAGACGGCCCUAUGGGUUGUAAACUGCUUUUAUACAGGAAGAAUGUUACCUACGCGUAGGUAUUUGACGGUACUGUAAGAAUAAGGAUCGGCUAACUCCGUGCCAGCAGCCGCGGUAAUACGGAGGAUCCAAGCGUUAUCCGGAAUCAUUGGGUUUAAAGGGUCCGCAGGCGGUUCAUUAAGUCAGAGGUGAAAUCCUACCGCUCAACGGUAGCAUUGCCUUUGAUACUGAUGGACUUGAGUUAUAGUGAAGUAGUUAGAAUGUGUAGUGUAGCGGUGAAAUGCAUAGAUAUUACACAGAAUACCGAUUGCGAAAGCAGAUUACUAACUGUAUACUGACGCUGAGGGACGAAAGCGUGGGUAGCGAACAGGAUUAGAUACCCUGGUAGUCCACGCCGUAAACGAUGGAUACUAGCUGUUCGGCCAACAAUGGUUGGUUGAGUGGCUAAGCGAAAGUGAUAAGUAUCCCACCUGGGGAGUACGCUCGCAAGAGUGAAACUCAAAGGAAUUGACGGGGGCCCGCACAAGCGGUGGAGCAUGUGGUUUAAUUCGAUGAUACGCGAGGAACCUUACCAGGGCUUAAAUGUAGGUUGCAUAAACCAGAGAUGGUUUUUUCUUCGGACCACCUACAAGGUGCUGCAUGGUUGUCGUCAGCUCGUGCCGUGAGGUGUCAGGUUAAGUCCUAUAACGAGCGCAACCCCUGUUGUUAGUUGCCAGCAAGUAAAGUUGGGUACUCUAACGAGACUGCCGGUGCAAACCGCGAGGAAGGUGGGGAUGACGUCAAAUCAU
This 1080-nucleotide ribosomal RNA is filed under the name uncultured bacterium. RNAcentral's name for it is "bacterial SSU rRNA". It matches the Rfam family "Bacterial small subunit ribosomal RNA", at positions 115 to 1193 of the family's 1533-position model. The record is from RNAcentral.